GCUACGGGAGGCAGCAGUGGGGAAUAUUGCACAAUGGGGGGAACCCUGAUGCAGCGACGCCGCGUGAGUGAAGCAGUAUUUAGGUAUGUACAGCUCUAUUAGCAGGGAAGAAAAUGCCGUUACCUGACUAAGAAGCCCCGGCUAACUACGUGCCAGCCGCCGCGGUUAUACGUGGGCGGCAAGCUUUAUCCGGAUUUACUGGGUGUAAAGGGAGCGUAGACGGCAGAGCAGGUCUGAAGUGAAAGCCCGCGGCCCAACUGCGGUGCUGCGUUGGAAACUGCACGGCUAGAGUGCUGGGGAGGUAAGCGGAAUGCCUGGUGUAGCGGUGAAAUGCGUAGAUAUUAGGAGGAACACCAGUGGCGAAGGCGGCUUACUGGACAGUAACUGACGUUGAGGCUCGAAAGCGUGGGGAGCAAACAGGAUUAGAUACCCUUGUAGUC
Molecule: ribosomal RNA, 440 nt
Filed under: uncultured bacterium
Lineage: Bacteria
Description: partial 16S ribosomal RNA
Rfam family: Bacterial small subunit ribosomal RNA
Source: RNAcentral